RNAcentral lists this ribosomal RNA (254 nucleotides) under uncultured bacterium. Its description in RNAcentral is "partial 16S ribosomal RNA". It matches the Rfam family "Bacterial small subunit ribosomal RNA", at positions 524 to 776 of the family's 1533-position model. The record is from RNAcentral.
UACGGGGGGAGCAAGCGUUGUUCGGAUUUACUGGGCGUAAAGGGCGCGUAGGCGGCCACCGCAAGUCACUUGUGAAAUCUCCGGGCUUAGCCCGGAAAGGUCAACUGAUACUGCGGGGCUAGAGUGCAGAAGGGGCAACUGGAAUUCUCGGUGUAGCGGUGAAAUGCGUAGAUAUCGAGAGGAACACCUGCGGCGAAAGCGGCUCACUGGACCACAACUGACGCUGAGGCGCGAAAGCUAGGGGAGCAAACAGG